GCCUCCUAAAAGGUAACGGAGGCGCUCAAAGGUUCCCUCAGAAUGGUUGGAAAUCAUUCAUAGAGUGUAAAGGCAUAAGGGAGCUUGACUGCGAGACCUACAAGUCGAGCAGGGUCGAAAGACGGACUUAGUGAUCCGGUGGUUCCGCAUGGAAGGGCCAUCGCUCAACGGAUAAAAGCUACCCCGGGGAUAACAGGCUUAUCUCCCCCAAGAGUUCACAUCGACGGGGAGGUUUGGCACCUCGAUGUCGGCUCAUCGCAUCCUGGGGCUGUAGUCGGUCCCAAGGGUUGGGCUGUUCGCCCAUUAAAGCGGUACGCGAGCUGGGUUCAGAACGUCGUGAGACAGUUCGGUCCCUAUCCGUCGUGGGCGUAGGAAAUUUGAGAGGAGCUGUCCUUAGUACGAGAGGACCGGGAUGGACAUACCUCUGGUGUACCAGUUGUCGUGCCAACGGCAUAGCUGGGUAGCUAUGUGUGGACGGGAUAAGUGCUGAAAGCAUCUAAGCAUGAAGCCCCCCUCAAGAUGAGAUUUCCCAACUUCGGUUAUAAGAUCCCUCAAAGAUGAUGAGGUUAAUAGGUUCGAG
Molecule: ribosomal RNA, 580 nt
Filed under: Staphylococcus aureus
Lineage: Bacteria; Bacillati; Bacillota; Bacilli; Caryophanales; Staphylococcaceae
Description: partial 23S ribosomal RNA
Rfam family: Bacterial large subunit ribosomal RNA
Source: RNAcentral